GAGUUUGAUCCUGGCUCAGGAUGAACGCUAGCUACAGGCUUAACACAUGCAAGUCGCGGGGCAGCAUGUUACUGGCUUGCCAGUAAUGAUGGCGACCGGCGCACGGGUGAGUAUCGGGUAUCCAACCUUCCCAUAUCCACGGGAUAGCCUGCCGAAAGGCAGAUUAAUACCGUAUGUUGUCGCACGCUGGCAUCAAAAUGCGACGAAAGGCUUAGCGGAUAUGGAUGGGGAUGCGUCCGAUUAGCUUGACGGCGGGGUAACGGCCCACCGUGGCGACGAUCGGUAGGGGUUCUGAGAGGAAGGUCCCCCACAUUGGAACUGAGACACGGUCCAAACUCCUACGGGAGGCAGCAGUGAGGAAUAUUGGUCAAUGGGCGCAAGCCUGAACCAGCCAAGUAGCGUGCAGGACGACGGCCCUAUGGGUUGUAAACUGCUUUAUGCGGGGAUAAAGUAUGGGACGUGUCCCAUUUCGCAGGUACCGCAUGAAUAAGGACCGGCUAAUUCCGUGCCAGCACCCGCGGUAAUACCGGAAGGUCCGGGCGUCAUCCGGAUUCAUUGGGUCUAAAGGGAGCGUACGCCGCCCCUUAACCGUGUUGUGAAAUGCCGAGGCCUCAACCGUGGCACUGCAGCGCGAACCGGGGGACUUGACUGUGCCCCACCCACGCGGAAUUCGUGGUGUAGCGGUGAAAUGNUUAGAUAUCACGAGGAACCCCGAUUGCGAAGGCAGCUUGCGGGAGCACUACUGACGCUGAAGCUCGAAGGCGCGGGUAUCGAACAGGAUUAGAUACCCUGGUAGUCCGCGCGGUAAACGAUGGAUGCCCGCUGUGUGCCAUUCUGGUAUGCGGCCAAGCGAAAGCGUUAAGCAUCCCACCUGGGGAGUACGCCGGCAACGGUGAAACUCAAAGGAAUUGACGGGGGCCCGCACAAGCGGAGGAACAUGUGGUUUAAUUCGAUGAUACGCGAGGAACCUUACCCGGGCUUGAACUGCCAGCGGACGAUACAGAGAUGUUGAGGCCCUUCGGGGCGCUGGCGGAGGUGCUGCAUGGUUGUCGUCAGCUCGUGCCGUGAGGUGUCGGCUUAAGUGCCAUAACGAGCGCAACCCCUCUCCGUAGUUGCCAUCAUGUGAUGCUGGGCACUCUGCGGACACUGCCACCGCAAGGUGUGAGGAAGGUGGGGACGACGUCAAAUCAGCACGGCCCUUACGUCCGGGGCUACACACGUGUUACAAUGGGGGGUACAGAGCGCCGGCUUGCCGCAAGGAGAGUCCAAUCGCGAAAACCUCCCUCAGUUCGGACUGGGGUCUGCAACCCGACCCCACGAAGCUGGAUUCGCUAGUAAUCGCGCAUCAGCCAUGGCGCGGUGAAUACGUUCCCGGGCCUUGUACACACCGCCCGUC
Molecule: ribosomal RNA, 1396 nt
Filed under: uncultured bacterium
Lineage: Bacteria
Description: bacterial SSU rRNA
Rfam family: Bacterial small subunit ribosomal RNA
Source: RNAcentral